CCCAUGAGGAUCAUGAGGUACAGGGAAGUUAAAUAAGGUCCGUGUGUUCACAGGUUCUUAGAGAUCGAAGCCGUAUUCCAUCAUUUCCUCAAGCACCAGGUCGACGGCAGCAGGAUUUGGAGGUAACAGGGACGCUGGAGAAGGAGUCCGAGGGGCCGGUGGGUAGGCAUGGCCAGUGGUAGGGCACGUCAAGAUUUACCACGCCCCAGGGCAA
RNAcentral lists this long non-coding RNA (214 nucleotides) under Mustela putorius furo (domestic ferret). Its description in RNAcentral is "lncRNA (ENSMPUG00000023947.1)". Lineage: Eukaryota; Metazoa; Chordata; Mammalia; Carnivora; Mustelidae. The record is from RNAcentral.